AGUUUGAUCCUGGCUCANAACGUACGCUGGCGGCACGCCUAACACAUGCAAGUCGAACGCAGUAGCAAUACUGAGUGGCGAACGGGUGAGUAUAAUGUAGGUAUCUGCCUUUUGGUUUGGAAUAACACGAGGAAACUUGUGCUAAUACCGGAUAAGCCUUCACAGGGAAAGUUUUAACGCCAAAAGAUGAGCCUGCACUUGAUUAGCUAGUUGGUAAGGUAAUGGCUUACCAAGGCUACGAUCAAUAGCUGUUCUUAGAGGAAGAUCAGCCACAUUGGGACUGAGACACGGCCCAAACUCCUACGGGAGGCAGCAG
Molecule: ribosomal RNA, 316 nt
Filed under: uncultured bacterium
Lineage: Bacteria
Description: bacterial SSU rRNA
Rfam family: Bacterial small subunit ribosomal RNA
Source: RNAcentral